Molecule: ribosomal RNA, 497 nt
Filed under: uncultured bacterium
Lineage: Bacteria
Description: partial 16S ribosomal RNA
Rfam family: Bacterial small subunit ribosomal RNA
Source: RNAcentral
GAUGAACGCUGGCGGCGUGCCUAAUACAUGCAAGUCGAGCGAACAGACGAGGAGCUUGCUCCUCUGACGUUAGCGGCGGACUGGUUAGUAACACGUGGAUAACCUACCUAUAAGACUGGGAUAACUUCGGGAAACCGGAGCUAAUACCGGAUAAUAUUUUGAACCGCAUGGUUCAAUAGUGAAAGACGGUUUUGCUGUCACUUAUAGAUGGAUCCGCGCUGCAUUAGCUAGUUGGUAAGGUAACGGCUUACCAAGGCAACGAUGCGUAGCCGACCUGAGAGGGUGAUCGGCCAAACUGGAACUGAGACACGGUCCAGACUCCUAAGGGAGGCAGCAGUAGGGAAUCUUCCGCAAUGGGCGAAAGCCUGACGGAGCAACGCCGCGUGAGUGAUGAAGGUCUUCGGAUCGUAAAACUCUGUUAUUAGGGAAGAACAAAUGUGUAAGUAACUAUGCACGUCUUGACGGUACCUAAUCAGAAAGCCACGGCUAACUACGUG